Long non-coding RNA from Panicum virgatum (switchgrass), 2759 nucleotides. RefSeq lists it as uncharacterized. Lineage: Eukaryota; Viridiplantae; Streptophyta; Magnoliopsida; Poales; Poaceae. The record is from RefSeq and is a predicted model, not a curated record. The transcript has 4 exons.
AUAGCGCACGAUGGUUGUUUUGGAUUUGCCGGUGGCCUCCGCUGCCCCGAUCCGCUCAGUCCCCGUCCGGCGUCCCUGACGCCGCAGUCCGCUCCGUCCCGGUGUCGCCAGUCCGCUCUGUCGCCGCUGCACCUCGCCGGUUCUCUCAUCUGGUUUGCCCAUCGUCCAGGCUUGUUUCUCUUUUGCAUCCCAGUCUCCUCUCAUCUGGUCUCUUUUGCAUCUCGGUCUCUUGCAACUCCGUCCCUCGCCGCUGUCGCCCAUCCCGUCUUCGUGCUCCUUCGCUGCCCCGAGCUCCCGUCUUCGUGCUCCAUCCCUGGGAUCGCCUCCGCUGCCCCGACCCGCUCAGUCCCCGUCCGUCAUCCCCGACAUCACAGUCCGCUCCGUCCCGGCCGCGUCAUCGUCGCAGGCGGCCUGGUGGACGGAGAUGCCUAGGCAGAGCCCGCGGCCGAGGAAGACGGUGGCCUGCACGGCGGCCAGCGACGCCAGCACGCCAGCGCCACUGCCCUACCCCUCCGCGCCGCGCAACGCCGACCCUGGCGCUAUGCAGGAGCUCUUCACCAAGUCGCCCACCAUGUUCUCGACUGAUUGACUGAGCCAGGAAUUUUAGGCACUGAAGCAUAUUUAUCUUUAGUGUAUGUCUAUGUGUGGGGCACUGAAGCGCUGCCAAUCCUCCAGUGGACCGAUGGCUUGUGUUCUACUAGCUUAAAUAAGGGUGCAUGCAUAUAGUUAAGGUCGCUGCUUUUCCUUGCUAUGGAAUGUUGCUUUGCUAAUUUUGUCCAGCUAAUCAAAAUUGAUCCACAUGCUAUUGCGAUUCUUAGUGAUGUCAAAGCUGCUAUGGAUCAUAUGAGUUCGAUUUGAGUGUGUACAUAUUGUGAUCCUAGGAAUCAGAUGAGUUCCAUUUUAGUCACUAAGUUUAGUUUGGAUGUAGGCCUUGUGUUUAUAAUCUAUUGCCUCUUGCUUUCAUGUGCUUUGUCAACUUAUUAUUCAACAGACAAGCAGUAGAGCAGCUGCAUUAUUCUCUGCACAAUUUUGCAGCCUCUCUGUGAACUUAUUAUUCAAUAGCACAAGUAGCAGCACAGCUGCAUUAUUCUCUCCGGAGUUUUGCACCGAAGUAACCUGGGAACGCAUAUAAUGUACUUCACAAUUAAUGGCUUUUGCAUUUUUGCUUUGUGAAUAUUACGACAUGGAGGCUGUCACUUCAAUACUGACUCUAUCUCCAUGCUUUGGUUCUGUUGAACAGUUGCAGUGUGAAGGCUAUAAUUGAGAGAUACAGCUAAGAAGGCACAUCUGGGCCCCACUCUUAGAGCUCAAUGUCCAGGCCAGUAUAGGCGAGCGGUGAGGCGGCUCCGGCUGGCGACAAGGAGCAGUGGACGCUGAGUGGGGAUGAGAAAGAUCCAUUUGCUGAGCCGUGCUUGGGGAGGCAAUCAAUGGGAUUCAAAGUGAGCACCCACCAUUGCAUACCGGAGCAACUUGACGGGUCCCACGCGUCGGUGUGGUGCGCCCGCAUCUGCCGUGGAGGUGCUCAAGCGCCUGCUGAGCAACCUGCUUCAGGAGCCCAGCAGCGACAAGUUUAGGCGGGUGCGGCUGGGCAACCCGCGGAUCAAAGAGGCCGUGGUGGACAGGAGGGCGUGGUGGAGCUCCUUGAGGCCGUCGGGUUCCGGGUCGGGGACAAGAGCAGGGUGCUCUUCGUCAUCAUGGACGAGGUGCUAGCUGGCGACGAGAGGCUCAGCGGGAACAGGAGGGUCGUGCUCUUGAACGAGAGGACACACCACUUGUCGUCGUGCUCAGGUGGAGGCUGACACCAAGGAGAGCUGCAGCAAUGGGGCUGAUGGACAGGACAAUGUUAAGAAGACUGUCGAUUGGCAGAGUUUUGUUAUGCCAACCACUUGCAGCGGGAACUUGGUUAUGCUGCCUGCUAUAAUCACCAGAUGGCAUUAUGUUAGCUGCACAUCAGCCAUUUAUCCCUCAAUUAAGGAUCCAGGCAGACCACGUCGGCCUCCAAAACCUAUAGCUCAAGGUUAAAUCUGAUUUACAUGACCAGCUAACAUAGUAGUACGUGUGGUUUACUAUGGGAGAAGGAAGAUUCCAUGUUUCUUGCAAUUUAACACUAUGGUUUACCAAUUAGUAAUCUCAUAUGUUUCAAAUUAACAACUUUGAUGUACUUUGGCGAGUAUGGAUUCAGAAAAAAAGUAGUCAUCUGGUUAGGAAGUUUCUGAUGUAUAAAUGACCAUAAUUGACAUGGCUGUGCUUCAUAGAUUUUUUUUUUCAACUGCAAAAUCCUAUAUGUAUCUGUGUUUCUUCAUUAGUCUACAGAUAAAAAUGUCCAGCCACAUGGCUCUACGUGAGGAGCCAGAGCAGCAACUCAUCACCCAUUGCCCUGUAGCCUCUACUAAAUUUCUAGGAUUUGUAAUUUUUUACUCAGACAUCUCACUGUGUUUCAAGCAAAGCAAGAUUCUAAGUCUUCUGUACCUGAAGACGUGCAAGCAGUUGCAGGAGCUAGCCUAAGUGUGUGGGAGCAACUGGCUAGGGACAUUUGCAGUUGUAUGGCAGUAUGGCACCAAGGACAAGGAAGCAGCUGGUAUGAAUGGAUAAGAAAUAAAAAGUUUCCUAUGAUAUUGAUUUGGAUGAAAAUGUAUGCUGAACAUAUAGUUGCACACAUGGAUUUUGACUAGCUUUCUUUUCUGAUAAAUAUUGAGCUGCUACUGAUGCUUUUUUAUGUAUCAGUCUUUUUUCACUAUGAUUUGCCCCACCAUGAUGCA